RNAcentral lists this ribosomal RNA (406 nucleotides) under uncultured bacterium. RNAcentral's name for it is "partial 16S ribosomal RNA". It matches the Rfam family "Bacterial small subunit ribosomal RNA", at positions 29 to 526 of the family's 1533-position model. The record is from RNAcentral.
AUUGAACGCUGGCGGCAGGCCUAACACAUGCAAGUCGAACGAGUGGCGGACGGGUGAGUAAUGUCUGGGAAACUGCCUGAUGGAGGGGGAUAACGACGGGAAACGGUCGCUAAUACCGCAUACCAUAGGAUGUGCCCAAGUGGGAUUAGGUAGUUGGUGGGGUAAGGGCCCACCAAGGCGACGAGCGCUAGCUGGUCUGAGAGGAUGACCAGCCACACUGGAACUGGGACACGGCCCGGACUCCUACGGGAGGCAGCAGUGGGGAAUAUUGGGCAAUGGGCGCAACCCUGAUCCAGCCAUGCCGCGUGAUUGAAGAAGGUCUUCGGGUUGUAAAGUACUUGCAGUUAGGAGGCGUUACCAACAGAAGAAGCACCGGCUAACUCCGUGCCAGCCGCCGCGGUAAUAC